This 254-nucleotide ribosomal RNA is filed under the name uncultured prokaryote. Its description in RNAcentral is "partial 16S ribosomal RNA". It matches the Rfam family "Bacterial small subunit ribosomal RNA", at positions 524 to 777 of the family's 1533-position model. The record is from RNAcentral.
UACGGAGGAUCCGAGCGUUAUCCGGAUUUAUUGGGUUUAAAGGGUGCGUAGGCGGCUUAGUAAGUCAGCGGUGAAAUUUUGCAGCUUAACUGUAACAGUGCCGUUGAUACUGCCAGGCUAGGAUUUGGUUGCUGUGGGUGGAAUGUGUGGUGUAGCGGUGAAAUGCUUAGAUAUCACACAGAAUAUCGAUUGCGUAGGCAGCUCACAAAGCCAAGAUUGACGCUGAGGCACGAAAGUGUGGGGAUCAAACAGGA